UUUAAGCACGCCUAUGAGUUUCCGUGUCUAAUUUUGAUCGUCCGUCUUAUUUGAAAUUUUCUCUAUUAUUAGUAUUUUGUUUUUAUUAGAUAAUAAAACAUUAAUAUUAUUUUAUGCUGACUUAUGCUUUUAAUUUUUUUAAAUGUUUUUAAAAUAAGACGGACGAUUAAAGUUGAAUAAGGAAACUCAUAGCUGUGCUUAAA
MicroRNA precursor from Oryza sativa Japonica Group (Japanese rice), 203 nucleotides. It matches the Rfam family "MIR812 microRNA precursor family". The record is from Rfam. NCBI's taxonomy places the organism in Eukaryota, Viridiplantae, Streptophyta, Magnoliopsida, Poales, Poaceae.